CGGCCGCCAAGGCGGCGGAGCUGGGUGCCGAGCGCUCUGUUCCGCCCGGCCGGCCAGCCAGCCUGAGAGCCGGGUGGGGGCGGGAGGAAAAGGGGAGGGCUGGGGGGCGGCGGCGGAAAGGGGCGAGCCCCUCCGGCCCGGCAGCGGGAAGAGCGGCCGCGGCGCCGGGCGAGCCCGGGAGGCGAGGCAGUGCCAUGCUGCCUUUGUGCAAAGUUGGGCGGCGGGCGGCGCGCCGCGCGCAGGGGCCCCGCACACCCGCGACCGCGCGCAGUCGUGGCUGCUGCUGAGUGGCGGGGGCCAGCGCGCCCCCCGCCCCCCGCUCCCCCAGCCCUUGAAGGCGGAGAGAGCUGGCGUCUCGCUCGGCUUCAGGGUAAGUCCAGCUGUGAGCAGGGCGUUCUGUUCUUCACUUCCAGCGAGCCAGAGUUUUAUAAAUGGACACUGACAUGGACUACGAAAGACCCAACGUGGAAACCAUCAAGUGCGUGGUCGUGGGAGACAACGCCGUGGGGAAGACGCGCUUGAUCUGCGCCAGAGCGUGUAAUACGACGCUGACACAGUACCAGCUGCUGGCCACCCACGUACCCACAGUGUGGGCCAUUGACCAGUACCGGGUCUGCCAGGAGGUCUUGGAGCGUUCCCGGGACGUCGUUGAUGAAGUGAGCGUCUCUCUCAGGCUUUGGGAUACUUUCGGCGAUCAUCACAAAGACAGGCGUUUUGCAUAUGGCAGGUCCGACGUUGUGGUCCUCUGUUUUUCGAUCGCUAAUCCCAAUUCCCUAAAUCAUGUGAAAACGAUGUGGUAUCAAGAAAUCAAGCACUUUUGCCCUCGCACACCUGUUGUUCUAGUUGGCUGCCAGCUAGAUCUCCGCUAUGCUGAUCUUGAGGCUGUUAAUAGAGCCAGACGCCCUUUAGCAAGGCCCAUAAAGAGAGGGGAUAUUUUGCCCCCAGAAAAAGGCCGAGAGGUUGCAAAGGAACUGGGCAUACCCUACUACGAAACAAGCGUAUUUGACCAGUUUGGAAUCAAGGAUGUGUUUGACAAUGCAAUCCGAGCCGCCCUCAUUUCCCGCCGGCACCUGCAGUUCUGGAAAUCCCACCUAAAGAAAGUCCAGAAACCUUUACUUCAGGCACCAUUCCUACCUCCAAAAGCCCCUCCACCGGUCAUCAAAGUUCCAGAAUGUCCCUCCACAGGGACGAACGAAGCCGCCUGUUUACUGGACAAUCCUCUGUGCGCUGACGUCCUGUUCAUCCUCCAGGACCAGGAGCGGAUCUUUGCACACCGGAUUUACCUUGCUACCUCCUCUUCCAAAUUUUAUGAUCUCUUUUUAAUGGAAUGUGAAGAAACCCCCCACUGGAGCGAAGGAGCUUGUGAGCAAGAGAAGCAGAGCAGGGAUUUCCAGGGGCGGCCCCUGAGUCUUGAUGCAGACGAGGAAAGGGAGGAGGGCACCCCAAGGACACCUCAGGCCGAUCAGUGGACGUCCUCAAGCCAGAACCUGUCCCAGCAGGAGACCCCGGGGCUGGAGGCCGAGGGCUCAGCGGCAGAGACACAGACCCUGUCAGGCUGGAGUAAGGGCUUCGUUGCCAUGCACAAGGAGAUGCAAGUCAACCCCAUUUCGAAGCGGGUGGGCCCCGUGACUGUGGUCAGGAUGGACCCAUCCGUCCAGCCAGGCCCUUUCCGGACCCUGCUCCAGUUUCUCUAUACGGGGCAACUGGAUGAAAAGGAAAAGGAUCUGGUGGGCCUGGCUCAGAUAGCAGAGGUCCUAGAGAUGUUUGAUUUGCGGAUGAUGGUGGAGAACAUCAUGAACAAGGAAGCCUUCAUGAACCAGGAGAUUACGAAAGCGUUUCACGUCCGGAAAGCCAACCGGAUAAAAGAGUGUCUCAGCAAGGGGACGUUCUCAGAUGUGACAUUUAAGUUGGAUGAUGGAGCCAUCAGUGCCCACAAACCACUGCUGAUCUGCAGCUGCAAGUGGAUGGCUGCCAUGUUCGGGGGGUCGUUCGUCGAAAGCGCCAACAGUGAGGUAUAUCUCCCGAACAUAAACAAGAUGUCAAUGCAGGCGGUACUGGAUUAUCUUUAUACCAAGCAGUUGUCACCUAACUUGGACCUGGACCCACUGGAACUAAUUGCUUUGGCAAACAGAUUUUGCCUGCCACACUUGGUUGCGCUUGCAGAGCAGCACGCUGUCCAGGAGCUGACCAGGGCCGCCAUGAGUGGCGUGGGCAUCGAUGGGGAAGUGCUCUCUUAUUUGGAAUUGGCCCAGGCACCACCCUAGACGAGAGGACAUGGAGAUACAAACACGGUAGAUUCUCUGCCCUUGGGGCCGUCCUAGGCCACUGAGGGAAACAGACACAAGCACAACUUAUUAAAAUCCAAUGUGAAAAACAACCUCACAGAGGUUCCAGUUAAAACUGAGAACAGACAUCAAUCACAAGUCAAAUCAGCAAGCCCCCAUCAACACUGUCCAAAUGGGAAUUUGGGGGUGUUUUGAAACAGGCCUGGAGGACAGCUUAUGACCUGUGCCCUCUCCAGUAAGUAUUCCUCCUCGAGAACAAUCAGAUGACCCAGAACUUCAUAUAGGGCCAGCCCACUUGAGGUAAUGAUUUACAGUUGUGUCUAUUUGUUUGCUGUGUAUUCCCACCCCGUGCCCUCCCCCGACCCCGCCCACACAUACACCCUGCAAAGAAAUAAUAUGAUUCCUGCUAAGCUCUGACAAGCCGUGGCAGGAAGAGUUUAGGACAGAGUCUCCCACAUCUUAGCUCAUUUGUUAGACCCUAACCCAAGGGGUAAGUAUUUAACAGUCAGCUUGGGGACAGGUGGGACCCUGAUCUGUUGCAUUUUCCAGUUUCUGGGGUGUAAAUACCCCUACCUGGCCAACUUUAACAACUUGAAGUCACCGAGCUCAGAGUACAGAAGGGAUGCCCCCCGUGAUGCUCUUAAGCAGGUACAAGCCAACGCCAGUACUGCACUGCCCUGCUCUGACUUGCAGAAGGAAAUCUGUUAUCAAGAGAAGUUGGAAGCACCUGCUAGAAUUGUCUGUCAUGUUGGGCUUGUGAUCUGCAGAGAGUUUCUUGAGUUAGUUUCUGAGGGCGUUGGCUUUUCUCUUGGCCUCUGUUGAGGGCACUGAUGGGGGGCCCUGGAGGAAGCGCACUGUAGGUUUCAGGGGUUCACCUGCUCAAAGAAACUUCAAGAGCAACAGACAACAGAAUGGAUGUCUGAAAGGGGCCUGGACAGAAAGAGUGAGGGAUGGGGGGACCUGCCAAAUUGGGGGAGGGAAUGGGGAGUGGACUGUGGAUUUUUGAGCAUCGGGUGUUUUGCAGUCACGGCUUCCUCAGCUGCCACUGUCCUGAGCAUCUGCUCAGAAAGGAGAGGGUGGAUCGAGGGUCUGGAUCCCUCCGUCCCCACCCACACUGCCUGCUCUUCUUAUGUAACCAGAGGACAGGCAGAGGACAGGCACACAUGCUGCGUGCUCCUGCACUGAUCUUUCAUGCUCCUGUUUUAGAUCUCUGGCCCCAGCCACCUGAGCUUCGACAUGCAACACGGCGGAUUCUGUUGCCGAGGCUCCUUAAACAGAGAUGACAUCGCUGCUUUCUCCUGUGGUCUGGUGCCUUCCAGAGGCCACGGCCACUUAUCAUUAGAGGGCAGGUGGAAGGGGAGAAGAGGAGGGCAAGGCAUACUUUAGACUCCUGAUCUGAUACAGUGAUUAUUUUUAGCGCACAUAUCCCCGGGGGGGGGGGGGGCGGGGAGGAGUGUGCCGAACGCUUACACGUGGCUGGCGUCCGAACCAUGGGCAGAGUCAAAACCCUGUAGUCAAAACAAGAGGUUUCCGAAUUAGUCAUCUGGGCCCUUUAUUUCUUUGACCCGUCCCGUGGCUUUUUCUUUCUUUGUAGCCCCACUUUAGAAAACAGAGUCUGACCCCCUUUUGGUCACUUCCCUGCAGUUUCACAAUGCCCACCAGUUGGCCGCCUGGUGUUUGCACCACAUCUGCACCAACUACAACAGUGUUUGUUCCAAGUUCCGCAAGGAAAUCAAAUCGAAAUCUGCAGACAACCAGGAAUACUUUGAGCGGCACCGCUGGCCCCCCGUGUGGUACCUGAAGGAGGAAGACCACUACCAGCGUGUGAAAAGGGAAAGAG
This is a non-coding RNA of Delphinapterus leucas (beluga whale), 4125 nucleotides long. NCBI's taxonomy places the organism in Eukaryota, Metazoa, Chordata, Mammalia, Artiodactyla, Monodontidae. The record is from RefSeq and is a predicted model, not a curated record.